Molecule: long non-coding RNA, 270 nt
Filed under: Elaeis guineensis (African oil palm)
Lineage: Eukaryota; Viridiplantae; Streptophyta; Magnoliopsida; Arecales; Arecaceae
Description: long non-coding RNA (EGUI_LNC009115)
Source: RNAcentral
UGGGAGAUAGUCUUUCUUGAAAUUCUCUAUGCUGAACCGUUUCAGCACGGUGUCUAUGUACGUGAAUUAGGACAAUCCAAGUAAUCUUUUUAGAUUCAUCUGUAUAAAUCUUCAUCUCUAGGAUGUAAGAUACUUUUUCUAAAUCUUUCAUAGAGAACUGUAAUGAUAGCCAUAGCUUUAUACUUUAUAAAGUAAGAAUGUCAUUUUCUAUUAAGAGUGUGUUGAUCGCUAUCGUAGGUGGUCAAGAAUAAAAAUCAAUUCAAACUAUGU